Molecule: ribosomal RNA, 470 nt
Filed under: uncultured Syntrophomonas sp.
Lineage: Bacteria; Bacillati; Bacillota; Clostridia; Eubacteriales; Syntrophomonadaceae
Description: bacterial SSU rRNA
Rfam family: Bacterial small subunit ribosomal RNA
Source: RNAcentral
UAGCCUACGGGGGGCUGCAGUGGGGAAUAUUGCGCAAUGGGGGAAACCCUGACGCAGCGACGCCGCGUGAGUGAAGAAGGCAUUCGGGUCGUAAAACUCUGUUGUAGGGGAAGAAGGACUAGAGCCCUAAUAUGGCUUUAGAAUGACGGUACCCUACGAGUAAGCCCCGGCUAACUACGUGCCAGCAGCCGCGGUAAGACGUAGGGGGCGAGCGUUGUCCGGAAUUACUGGGCGUAAAGAGCACGUAGGCGGGUGUUUAAGUAAGGGGUGAAAGACCGCAGCUUAACUGCGGGGUUGCACCUGAAACUGGAUAUCUUGAGGGCAGGAGAGGGCAGUGGAAUUCCAGGUGUAGCGGUGAAAUGCGUAGAAAUCUGGAGGAACACCAGUGGCGAAGGCGACUGUCUGGACUGACCCUGACGCUGAGGUGCGAAAGCGUGGGUAGCAAACAGGAUUAGAUACCCGAGUAGUCG